Asterias rubens (European starfish) is the source of this 892-nucleotide long non-coding RNA. RefSeq lists it as uncharacterized. The record is from RefSeq and is a predicted model, not a curated record. Lineage: Eukaryota; Metazoa; Echinodermata; Asteroidea; Forcipulatida; Asteriidae. The transcript has 3 exons.
UCUGAACAAAUAACUGGGGAAUGACAAGCGAAGGGUGGUUUCCAUGUGUAGUAGGAGAGGGAGAGUGGCCUUACUUGUUGAUGGGCCUGCCGAGCAAGGAGGACGAGCCUGUAAAGCAGUUCUUUAUACAAAGAACUGGGGAAUGACAAGCGAAGGGUGGUCCCUAUGUGUAGUAGGAGAGGGAGAGUGGCCUUACUUGUUGAUGGGCCGCCAAGAAAGGAGGACGAGCCUGUAAAGCAGUUCUCUAUACAAAGAACUGGGGAAUGACAAGCGAAGGGUGGUCUCCAUGUGUAGUAGGAGAGGGAGAGUGGUCUUACUUGUUGAUGGGCCACCAAGCAAGGAGGAUGAGCCUGUAAAGCAGUUCUCUAUACAAAGAACUGGGGAAUGACAAGCGAAGGGUGGUCUCCAUGUGUAGUAGGAGAGGGAGAGUGGCCUUACUUGUUGAUGGGCCCCAUGUGUAGUAGGAGAGGGAGAGUGGUCUUACUUGUUGAUGGGCCUGCCAAGCAAGGAGGACGAGCCUUGAGAAUCAACCACAGGCUGUUAAAAGGGACUUUCAACCUCUUCAACUACAUAAGCUCAAAAGUGAUAUCACCAAGGCCAACAACUUUCUUAGUGCAUCAGAGAUGCUGGAGUGGGAAGAGUUGUUGGCACAACUUGAUGAGGAGGGCCAGUUGGGGACAGAAGAUGGAGAUCACCGUCACUUUGUAAUGACUUAGUAGCAAAUGCAAUUGAGAGGGAAGCCACCCAAGCUGUUGUUGAAGACUUAACCGAUGAUGAACUCUCUGAUGACAAUCUCAAUGCAGUUCAAUAUCUCCAAAGCGAUCUACACGUCAUCAAGAAGAUGUCCAGACAGACUGGCCUAUGAUGAAGGAACUAUACAAGUAAUCUCAUU